UGGCUCAGGAUGAACGCUGGCGGUAUGCUUAACACAUGCAAGUCGAACGGUGUUUUCGGACACAGUGGCGGACGGGUGAGUAACGCGUGAGAAUCUGGCUCUAGGUCGGGGACAACCACUGGAAACGGUGGCUAAUACCGGAUGUGCCGAGAGGUGAAAGGCUUGCUGCCUAGAGAUGAGCUCGCGUCUGAUUAGCUAGUAGGUGGGGUAAGAGCCUACCUAGGCGACGAUCAGUAGCUGGUCUGAGAGGAUGAUCAGCCACACUGGGACUGAGACACGGCCCAGACUCUACGGGAGGCAGCAGUGGGGAAUUUUCCGCAAUGGGCGAAAGCCUGACGGAGCAAUACCGCGUGAGGGAGGAAGGCUCUUGGGUUGUAAACCUCUUUUCUCAGGGAAGAACACAAUGACGGUACCUGAGGAAUCAGCAUCGGCUAACUCCGUGCCAGCAGCCGCGGUAAUACGGAGGAUGCAAGCGUUAUCCGGAAUGAUUGGGCGUAAAGCGUCCGCAGGUGGCGAUGUAAGUCUGCUGUUAAAGAGUGAGGCUCAACCUCAUAAGAGCAGUGGAAACUACAUAGCUAGAGUGCGUUCGGGGCAGAGGGAAUUCCUGGUGUAGCGGUGAAAUGCGUAGAUAUCAGGAAGAACACCGGUGGCGAAAGCGCUCUGCUAGGCCGCAACUGACACUGAGGGACGAAAGCUAGGGGAGCGAAUGGGAUUAGAUACCCCAGUAGUCCUAGCCGUAAACGAUGGAUACUAGGCGUGGCUUGUAUCGACCCGAGCCGUGCCGUAGCUAACGCGUUAAGUAUCCCGCCUGGGGAGUACGCACGCAAGUGUGAAACUCAAAGGAAUUGACGGGGGCCCGCACAAGCGGUGGAGUAUGUGGUUUAAUUCGAUGCAACGCGAAGAACCUUACCAAGACUUGACAUGUCGCGAAUCUGAGUGAAAGCUUAGAGUGCCUUCGGGAGCGCGAACACAGGUGGUGCAUGGCUGUCGUCAGCUCGUGUCGUGAGAUGUUGGGUUAAGUCCCGCAACGAGCGCAACCCUCGUUUUUAGUUGCCAGCAUUAAGUUGGGCACUCUAGAGAGACUGCCGGUGACAAACCGGAGGAAGGUGGGGAUGACGUCAAGUCAGCAUGCCCCUUACGUCUUGGGCUACACACGUACUACAAUGCUACGGACAGAGGGCAGCAAGCCGGCGACGGCAAGCAAAUCCCGAAAACCGUAGCUCAGUUCAGAUCGCAGGCUGCAACUCGCCUGCGUGAAGGAGGAAUCGCUAGUAAUUGCAGGUCAGCAUACUGCAGUGAAUUCGUUCCCGGGCCUUGUACACACACCGCCCGUCACACCAUGGAAGCUGGCAACGCCCGAAGUCAUUACUCCAACGAUUCGUCGAGGAGGAUGCCUAAGGCAGUGCUGGUGACUGGGGUGAAGUCGUAACAAGGUAGCCGUACCGGAAGGUGUGGCUGGAUCACCUCCUUUAUAGGGAGACCGAAUCCACUCAGAUAUCGAAAGCGAGUGUGCAAAUAGAUAAUGAGAUGGUCCUUCCUAGGUCGGUCGCAGAACUUGAGGUGAGCUUUCAAACUAUAUUUGGUUCGAUUUGGGCUAUUAGCUCAGGUGGUUAGAGCGCACCCCUGAUAAGGUGAGGUCCCUGGUUCGAGUCCAGGAUGGCCCACCUGAAGAGAGUUAAGAGUUUGAAGUUAGGAGUU
This 1698-nucleotide ribosomal RNA is filed under the name Aliinostoc sp. SA22. Its description in RNAcentral is "bacterial SSU rRNA". The stretch from base 1 to 1471 matches the Rfam family "Bacterial small subunit ribosomal RNA". Lineage: Bacteria; Bacillati; Cyanobacteriota; Cyanophyceae; Nostocales; Nodulariaceae. The record is from RNAcentral.